GACGAACGCUGGCGGCGUGCUUAACACAUGCAAGUGGAGCGACGAACCGGGGCUUGCCCCGGGGCAGAGCCGCGAACGGGUGAGUAACACAUGGGUAACCCACCCCGAUGACCGGGACAACCCGAGGAAACUCGGGCUAAUACCGGAUGUGCUCCUUGACCUCGAGGUCAAGGCGUAAAGAUAGCUUCGGCCUUCGCAUCGGGACGGGCCCGCGGCCCAUUAGCUUGUUGGUGGGGUAAAGGCCUACCAAGGCGACGANGGGUAGCUGGUCUGAGAGGACGAUCAGCCACACUGGGACUGAGACACGGCCCAGACUCCUACGGGAGGCAGCAGUGGGGAAUCUUGCGCAAUGCGCGAAAGCGUGACGCAGCAACGCGCGUGGGGAAGAC
RNAcentral lists this ribosomal RNA (389 nucleotides) under uncultured bacterium. Its description in RNAcentral is "bacterial SSU rRNA". It matches the Rfam family "Bacterial small subunit ribosomal RNA", at positions 28 to 412 of the family's 1533-position model. The record is from RNAcentral.